UACGUAGGGUGCAAGCGUUGCCCGGAUUUAUUGGGCGUAAAGGGCGCGUAGGCGGUCUGCUAAGCGUGCGGUGAAAGCCUGGGGCUCAACCCCAGGUCUGCCGUGCGAACUGGUGGACUCGAGCACUGUAGAGGCAGGUGGAAUUCCGGGUGUAGCGGUGGAAUGCGUAGAGAUCCGGAAGAACACCGGUGGCGAAGGCGGCAUCCUGGACCGACACUGACACUGAGGAGCGAAAGCCAGGGGAGCAAACGGG
RNAcentral lists this ribosomal RNA (253 nucleotides) under uncultured bacterium. RNAcentral's name for it is "partial 16S ribosomal RNA". It matches the Rfam family "Bacterial small subunit ribosomal RNA", at positions 524 to 776 of the family's 1533-position model. The record is from RNAcentral.